This 301-nucleotide ribosomal RNA is filed under the name uncultured bacterium. RNAcentral's name for it is "partial 16S ribosomal RNA". It matches the Rfam family "Bacterial small subunit ribosomal RNA", at positions 509 to 807 of the family's 1533-position model. The record is from RNAcentral.
CAGCAGCCACGGUAAUACGAAGGGGGCUAGCGUUAAUCGGAUUUACUGGGCGUAAAGCGUGCGCAGGCGGCCCGUUAAGACAGGUGUGAAAUCCCUGGGCUCAACCUAGGAAUUGCGCUUGUGACUGGCGGGCUCGAGUACGGUAGAGGGGGGUGGAAUUCCUGGUGUAGCAGUGAAAUGCGUAGAGAUCAGGAGGAACACCGAUGGCGAAGGCAGCCCCCUGGGCCUGUACUGACGCUCAUGCACGAAAGCGUGGGGAGCAAACAGGAUUAGAUACCCGAGUAGUCCCUGUCUCUUAUAC